RNAcentral lists this long non-coding RNA (797 nucleotides) under Anser brachyrhynchus (Pink-footed goose). Its description in RNAcentral is "lncRNA (ENSABRG00000007142.1)". Lineage: Eukaryota; Metazoa; Chordata; Aves; Anseriformes; Anatidae. The record is from RNAcentral.
AUGCCACACCCCUCGUGUCGAGGGUGCCCCAGCUCCCUGUGCGCAUGUCCAGCAUGCAAGUGGCAGUCACCACUGAGUCACAGCCAAAAUGUGGAGGCCAAGGCAGGCUGUUUGCUUCCCUGUGAUGGUGGCACUCCUCUACAGAGUGUCUUCUUUGUUCUCGCUCUCUACUCCUGUUUUAGUGCCAGCUAUCCAGAAGGACAGAGCAGGAGAGGAGAGGAAGAUAGCGGCGGAGAACACAAAGCCAGGGCUGACUGCUGUGGUGAAAGCCCAACUGGAACCAGUGGUGUUCCAAAUGGACAAAAACCAAUGCAGAUCCACACCCAGAAUGGCAAUGUGUAAAACUGGAUGCAAGUUCUACAGAAAACUGCUAAAGUGAGUAGUAGUCGCCUGUCACUGAUGGAUAUAGUUAUGUAAGAACACAUACGUGAAGUGACAGUUCAUUACCAUGAAUGCAUCUUCCACAGCAAAUCACCAUGAGGACAAGUAUUCUAUUCUGAGGCACAGAGAAACGUACAUGAAACCUCUGUUUUUCCCCUCUAAGUUUAAAGGGUAUUUUGUUCAUAGAAAAUUCUCUGUAUCAUGAAUGUGAGAUAGACUAAUAGACAAAAAACUCAAAUCAUACUCUUGAAAUAAUCACUGCUGUGAAUCAGCUGCUUUGUCUCAGAAGAAUAGAUGAAUAAUUGCUACAGUGAGAGGUUGAAACUUGACUUGAGCCCAUGUACUUUGUAAAUAGAGGUUUUCUUUAAAGUUGGUUGUUAAAAUGUUGUAAGGUAAUAAAAGCUAGUACAUUUUCU